Molecule: long non-coding RNA, 10631 nt
Filed under: Brassica napus (rape)
Lineage: Eukaryota; Viridiplantae; Streptophyta; Magnoliopsida; Brassicales; Brassicaceae
Description: long non-coding RNA (BNAP_LNC003781)
Source: RNAcentral
AAAAUCACUUUAAAUUUUUUAACAUUUUAAGAAAAACUAUAAAUCAAUAACAUUAAUAUAAAAUUUUAUCCCAAAAACUCAACACUAAAUGCAUAAACAAAAAAACAAACAAACCCUAAACCAUAUAAUACUAAGCAUUAUUCUAAAUAAAACCUUAAAUCCAACAUAAACCAAACGCUAAACCUUUUCUAUUGCCUAAAACCCUAAAUCCUACCUAACCCUAAACCCUACAUAAACCUAGACCUUAACCCUAUCUAACCCUAAACCCUUCAUACUACCUAAACCCUAAACUUAUCUAAUUGUAAACCUACCUAACCCUAAAAGUAAACCCUACCUAACCCUAAACCCUAUUUAACCCUAAACUCCACCUAAUCCUAAACCCUUCCUAACCCUAAAACCUACCUAACCCUAACCCUAAACCCCACCUACCCUAAACCCUACCAAAACCCUACUAACCCUAAACCCCACCUACCUUAAACCCUACCUAACCCUAAACCCUACCUAACCCUAGACCCUACCGAACCCUAAACCCUACCUAAUUCUAAACCCUACCUAACCCUAAACCCAACCUAACCCUAAACCCUACAUACCCUAAACCCUUUCUAACCCUAAACCCUACCUAACUUUAAACCCCUUCUAACCCUAAACAUGACCUAACCCUAAACCUUGCCUAACCCUAAAACCUACCUCACCCUAAACCCUUUCUAACCUUAAAUCCUAUUAACCCUACUAACCCUAAACCCUUUCUAACCCUAAACCAUGCUAACCCUAAACCCUUUCUAACCCUAAACCCUACCAAACCCUAAACCCUACCAAACCCUAAACCCUACCUAACCCUAAACCCUACCUAACUCUAACCCCUUUCUAACCCUAAACCCCUUCUAACCCUAAACCCUUUCUAACCCUAAAUCCUACUUAACCCUAAACCCUACCUAACCCUAAACCCUUUCUAGCCUUAAAUCCUACUAACCCUAAACCCUACUAACCCUAAACUUUUUUUAACCCUAAACCAUGCUAACCCUAAACCCUACCUAAUUCUAAACCCUACCUAACCUUAACCCUACAUAACCCAAAACCCUACUAACCCUAAACCCUACCUUACCCUAAAACCUUUCUAACCCUAAACCCUUUCUAGCCCUAAACCCUACUAACCCUAAACCCUACUAAACCUUAACCCUACUAACCCUAAACCCUACAUAACCCUCAACUGUAGCUAACCCUAAAACCUAUUAGUCCUAAACCCUACCAACCCUAAACCCUACCUAGCCCUAAACCCUACUAACCCUAAACCCUACCUACCCUAAACCCUUUUUAACCCUAAACCCUGCUAACCCUAAACUCUGUCUAAACCUAACCCUAAAACCCUACCUAAACCUAACCAUAAAUCCCGCUAAAACUCUACCAACCCUAAACACUAAAAAAUAAUCUCAAAAUUUAAAGUUAAAAAAACCUAAACUCUACCGCUAUGUAAUUUGUUGUUGUGAUAUUCAAAUAACAAAUUACAUAGCGGAUUUUAAAUCUUACAUCCGUUAUUUUAAUUGCCAAAAUAUUUUGAAAGUUGUAUUUUAUGAAUAAAAAAGUUAAAUUAUAUUUUAAUAACGUUAAAUUUUGUUAAAAUAGAAUGAAAAACUAUUAUCAUAAAUAAAUAAAGAAUUUUGAUGAAAUUUAAAAAUCUUCGAAUCGAUAACAAUUAAUUAGUAAUAUUUCAAAAACCCUUAAACUAUUAUAGCAGCAGAAUCUCAAAAAAAAAAUUAAAGUUCUCAAACAUUUAUUUGCCAAUAACCAUCAUUAAAUCUUUGCUGAUUCACAAAAAAUAAUAUUCUUUACGUAAAUUGGAAACAAGUUUUGUUUUUUGACUAGAGACCCAAGUUUAAAUUAUACCACUAAAAUAUUUUAAUAUUUAAUUAUUCAGAAAUAACAAGUUAAUGUUCUUAAAACAAUAACCAUUCUUAAAUCUUUGCUCAUUCAAAAAAAUAAUAUUCUUUACAUAAAUUGGAAACAAGUUUUGUUUUUUUUGACUAGAGACCCAAGUUUAAAUUAUACCACUAAAAUAUUUUAAUAUUUAAUUGUUCAGAAAUAUAUAUUUAUAUAUUCGAGAGUAUACAAUGCAUAGAUGAUACUAAACUGAUUGCAAGAAUUCUUUUUGUAAAACACAAUAUAAGUAGUAUAGUAUUCAAAGAACUUUUCAAAAAUUUAGAAAAAAUUUUAAGCCCGCAUCGCGGGCAAAACACCUAGUUAUUUAUUAUUUUCAAAGUUUAAUUGUCAUAUGUCAUACAUAAUGGGCAAUGGCCCAGAAAAGAAGCUCCACUAACAUCAUGUUCAUUCGAGCAACUUUUGGGAGAUGGUUUGCUUGUCACCAAAGUAACCCUUGACUUCAAUCAACACACGAUAACCUUCUUCCUUAAUAGCUGUUACGUUAUUCUUUUUCAACAAAAGAGGAUCAGGGAUUGAGCCUUUCUAGCCCUAAACCCUACUAACCCUAAACCCUACUAAACCUUAACCCUACUAACCCUAAACCCUACAUAACCCUCAACUGUAGCUAACCCUAAAACCUAUUAGUCCUAAACCCUACCAACCCUAAACCCUACCUAGCCCUAAACCCUACUAACCCUAAACCCUACCUACCCUAAACCCUUUUUAACCCUAAACCCUGCUAACCCUAAACUCUGUCUAAACCUAACCCUAAAACCCUACCUAAACCUAACCAUAAAUCCCGCUAAAACUCUACCAACCCUAAACACUAAAAAAUAAUCUCAAAAUUUAAAGUUAAAAAAACCUAAACUCUACCGCUAUGUAAUUUGUUGUUGUGAUAUUCAAAUAACAAAUUACAUAGCGGAUUUUAAAUCUUACAUCCGUUAUUUUAAUUGCCAAAAUAUUUUGAAAGUUGUAUUUUAUGAAUAAAAAAGUUAAAUUAUAUUUUAAUAACGUUAAAUUUUGUUAAAAUAGAAUGAAAAACUAUUAUCAUAAAUAAAUAAAGAAUUUUGAUGAAAUUUAAAAAUCUUCGAAUCGAUAACAAUUAAUUAGUAAUAUUUCAAAAACCCUUAAACUAUUAUAGCAGCAGAAUCUCAAAAAAAAAAUUAAAGUUCUCAAACAUUUAUUUGCCAAUAACCAUCAUUAAAUCUUUGCUAAUUCACAAAAAAUAAUAUUCUUUACGUAAAUUGGAAACAAGUUUUGUUUUUUGACUAGAGACCCAAGUUUAAAUUAUACCACUAAAAUAUUUUAAUAUUUAAUUAUUCAGAAAUAACAAGUUAAUGUUCUUAAAACAAUAACCAUUCUUAAAUCUUUGCUCAUUCAAAAAAAUAAUAUUCUUUACAUAAAUUGGAAACAAGUUUUGUUUUUUUUGACUAGAGACCCAAGUUUAAAUUAUACCACUAAAAUAUUUUAAUAUUUAAUUGUUCAGAAAUAUAUAUUUAUAUAUUCGAGAGUAUACAAUGCAUAGAUGAUACUAAACUGAUUGCAAGAAUUCUUUUUGUAAAACACAAUAUAAGUAGUAUAGUAUUCAAAGAACUUUUCAAAAAUUUAGAAAAAAUUUUAAGCCCGCAUCGCGGGCAAAACACCUAGUUAUUUAUUAUUUUCAAAGUUUAAUUGUCAUAUGUCAUACAUAAUGGGCAAUGGCCCAGAAAAGAAGCUCCACUAACAUCAUGUUCAUUCGAGCAACUUUUGGGAGAUGGUUUGCUUGUCACCAAAGUAACCCUUGACUUCAAUCAACACACGAUAACCUUCUUCCUUAAUAGCUGUUACGUUAUUCUUUUUCAACAAAAGAGGAUCAGGGAUUGAGAAAUCCUCGGCGUCAAAAAUAACAUAUGUGGGACGCAAAAUCUCUUCUCUGGGUGGGUUGGGGAAAAGCCUGUCCAUCGUUUCGUCGGCUACAAGAAAAUAGGAGAGCCUAUUUAGGGUUAAAAACCCUGCUAAAACAUGGGGCAAGCAUGGGCCUUUGAUAGCCCACCAAAAGAAGGCCUCCGGAUUCAUAACUAUACAUGGAUUCUUUUUUUUCUUGGUCAAAUACUUUUAUGGAUUCAAAAUUUCAGAUUUAAAAAGUUGUAUGAAGUUAUUCAAAUAGAAUUAUAAUUUUGCAUAAUAAAUUAAUUUCAUUGUAUAUCUAGAUUGUUGAACAAAAAAAAAAAAAAAUCUAGAUAAAAUAAUCGUGGCAAAAGCACGUACUAUAGAGAUUUUUGGUUAGCUAUUUUUUUUGUGUGAUUGGAAAUGUUCUUUAAUCAAGUUGGAAACUUAAAUAAUUUUCUUUGUUGUGAUAGAUGUGAAAAACUCUGCAAAACAUCAAUAGAUUCCAAUGGAUACAGGAUGUGUGGUUAGGACAGGUCUCAGAGAAGCUAAAACUGUUCCUUUGGUCUUGUGUUCGAUAACCUGAGAAGACGCGGAAUUAUGGUAGACAUUUGUUGUCCAAGAUGCUAGGAGGAGGAAACCACCAUCCAUCUCCUUUUCUUAUGCCCUUAUGCGCAGGAAGUCUAGAGCCUAAUACCACUUUCGGCGCCAAUUAACAUAGAAGAGUUUGAGAACAUCACAAAGGCAAUGGUUAGCAUCAGGAAAAUAGUUUGCUUUUCUCCUACAAGUAUCAUCGGCUCGAUCUUUUCAUGGAUAUGUUGGGCUAUCUGAAUGGCGAGAAACCCACUUAUUUUUGAGAAUUGCUCAACAUCACCAACUGAAACAUCAACAAAAGGCCUUGCACCAGCUAGAGAGUGGAAUAUAGGACAAGCAACACACGACAAACAACAAAACAGCAAAGCCACAGUCUUUAAAAGAAUAUAUCUAACUGACGAUCACAGUCUCGAAAUGAUCUGUUUCACAUAUGCAUCUUGGGAAAAAUCGAGUAAAUGAUCUGGUCUUGCAUGGGUUUUCAAAGAUACCCGCACUAAGAUCAACCACAAGGAAUCAAAGAUACAAGACUUCGUCUCUUCUCCUCUGAUGGCAGAAGCCAUCAGAUCGACAUCAUCACUUGGCAUAUCUUCUAUACAAGUACACUCCGACAAUCAAACGCUUAUCAAAGCUAUCACCAACAAGCUGAUGGGUUGACCGAUCGGCGCAAAUUCGCAGAUUCAAAGCAUAAUUCAACAAAAUUUAUAUUAAUAUAUAUUUUUUAAUCAUUAGUUUAUAUAGUUUGCUUUCAUCCGAAACUAGUAGCAGUAAAUUACUUCUCAAAACGCAACUCAUCUUCCAAACUCAUAGAUUUAAAUCAUAGUCGCAUCUAAAUACUUGUAGAGCUAUCAUAUCUCGGUAAAGGGUCUAGCUAUCUGUCGACAUAAAGUCUCUAAACUAUCACUCACAAUAUUGACAUCAUUCAAUUGCGUAGAAAGGAAUACAAAUUAUCCGAUUAAGAAGAUUGAUUAUGGCUUUUGCUUUACUCACACUGCUGCCAUUUAUAUGGACACCUUGUCGUCCUCUGAGAGACAUAAUGGCUAAAUAAUAAUUAUAUUUUUGAAAAUUUAUCAACAAUGAUGACCUACCAAAACAUAAUAAUUCACUACUACUAUACUAUAGGUUCGUUUUUUUUUUUGAAUUACCAGGAAGUUCAACAGAAGCCCUAAUUUCCCUAGUUCCGAAACCGCAUCAUAUAAUACUCUCUCCAUUUCAACAUAGAUGAUUUUUUAGGUCAUUGUUUUUGUUUCACAAUAGAUGAUAUUUUCACAUAUCUAGAUAACUUUAACUUUAUCAAAAACUGUGUAGCUAAUUUUUUUUUUUUUUAAUAAUUAAAUAAAUUAGUUUUAAAUUAAUUUUAAUGAUUUUUGUUUACAUAAUCUAAUUUUCUUAAUAUAUGUGCAAAGAACCAAAACUUCAUUUAUUAUGAAACAGAGGAAAUUAUUAGUUUUGUUCCAGCGGUUAUUCGAUCUAGAGAUUUCUGACACAAUGAUCGUGAUCUUUUACCGUUGAGCUAAUGACCUGUGGUUCGAUUCUGGCAUCCGAAACUAGUAGCAGUAAAUUACUUCUCAAAACGCAACUCAUCUUCCAAACUCAUAGAUUUAAAUCAUAGUCGCAUCUAAAUACUUGUAGAGCUAUCAUAUCUCGGUAAAGGGUCUAGCUAUCUGUCGACAUAAAGUCUCUAAACUAUCACUCACAAUAUUGACAUCAUUCAAUUGCGUAGAAAGGAAUACAAAUUAUCCGAUUAAGAAGAUUGAUUAUGGCUUUUGCUUUACUCACACUGCUGCCAUUUAUAUGGACACCUUGUCGUCCUCUGAGAGACAUAAUGGCUAAAUAAUAAUUAUAUUUUUGAAAAUUUAUCAACAAUGAUGACCUACCAAAACAUAAUAAUUCACUACUAAAUUAUAGGUUCAGUUUUUUUUUUUAAUUACGAGGAGGUUCAACCGAAUCUCUAAUUUUUCUAGUCCCAAAACCAGCAGUCAUUCGAUCUAGGGAUUUCUGACACAAUGAUCGUGAUCAUUUACCGUUGAGUUAAUGACCUCUGGUUUGAUUCCAAUUUCUUCUUUAUGUUUGUUUGGUUCAAUAAAAUGGAAACUCAAUCAGCUAGAGAUGAAAUUAAUUCAAAUGAAGUGUCUAGUAUUGGUUUGUUUGUUUAGUCUUAGGUUUAAUGAAAUUUAUAGUAUGGUUUGAAUUUAAAUUGGUCAAGAGUAAUAUACAAAUAAGUACUAUAGAUUAUAACUGAUAUUGAAUUACACGACAUUAUUAAUACAUAUUUCAGUAUUAGUUUUUAUCAUAAAUAUGACUUAAAUAAAAUGUCACUAUGUCAGUAUAUAUAGUUCGAUUUUUUUCCAGUACAUUUUAGAUUCGGUAUGUUCCAAUUUUCAUAGAACCGAUAACUUUUUCCUUUAAACAAUGAUUUUGAAUGAUCUUGAUUUGAAUAAUUCGGUUAUGUCUAAAUAUGCACUCCUAAUCAUAGAUCCCAUGUUUGGGUGUAUAUAUAAUUAAAUCCAAGCACGUGCUUAUACAUUGUUCCGGAAUUAUAUUGCAUGGAAAGUUAACGAGAUAUGGUAUUCUAUACUAUAUACUCGUGUAUAUGUAAGUAUUGUAACAUCAUUAUUUGAAAAGUAACAGUUCUCAUGUUAUACAAUACUAUAAAAAUCAUAAAACCAAAAAAAUAAACAUUAUAAAAUCGAGCAUAUAGUAAAUUGUGUUAAACAUUGAAUUCAAGUUUGACCAAGUCAAAUGAUAAAGCUGCUUGGAUCCACAUCUCCCAAACCAAACACAUGUCUUCACUCUUUUGUCUUUAGAUUUUUGUGGCUUCACUUCUUUUGUUUCUUUCUCGACUUCAGUUGAAACUCCAUAGCACAUAAAGAAAAGGUUCAGUGUUGAACAAGAAAUGUGAUUGCUCUUGGCUUUAUUCGGAAUUGCGGAAUGUGUGCAACAAUCAACGCCCUCAAAAUAUAUAAAUUAUUCAUAAAAAAAUAUUUCGAAAUUUGAAACAAAACCAAAACGAUAUUUAAAUUAUUCAAUAUAUAAAUAGAUAUACAAAAUAACGAUUGGCCGGUGCCAUUUUGAAUGCGUUCAGCGAUAGUUAUAAUUUUAUUACUUUCAAGUUUCGACGUAACACUCCACUCUACUCUAUUAUUGACAUCUUUCUACUUCCGGCUCUGUUUUGUUGACACGCAAGUACACCAACUAUGUGUUUGAUUCAAGUUGACAUCAAUCGAAUCAUUAGUAGAAUAAGACUAACUUCUAGGCCUCUUUUGUGGAUUAUGGGUUGAUUGGUAAUGGAUGUAGGGUCGACAUAUCGGUUUAUAGGGUCUUUCUUCUAAUUUUUUUUGUUUCAAAGGGUGAAUAUAGGUAUAUCCUCGUUACUGGCUUUGAUCUUGGUUUAGUCUUAUAGGAUGUAUCUAUGAUUUGUUGAUAAGUCUCUCAAGUGUUGUCAAAGUGCUCAUCAAAAUAUAGCACAAAAUCAUUCCCAUAUUAAGGUGAGAUGAUAUAGAUGGACUCUUCACAUAAUAUAUAAAUGGACAAAUUUUUAUCAACAAUGAUGACCUACCAAAACAUAAUAAUUCACUACUAAAUUAUAGGUUCAGUUUUUUUUUUUAAUUACGAGGAGGUUCAACCGAAUCUCUAAUUUUUCUAGUCCCAAAACCAGCAGUCAUUCGAUCUAGGGAUUUCUGACACAAUGAUCGUGAUCAUUUACCGUUGAGUUAAUGACCUCUGGUUUGAUUCCAAUUUCUUCUUUAUGUUUGUUUGGUUCAAUAAAAUGGAAACUCAAUCAGCUAGAGAUGAAAUUAAUUCAAAUGAAGUGUCUAGUAUUGGUUUGUUUGUUUAGUCUUAGGUUUAAUGAAAUUUAUAGUAUGGUUUGAAUUUAAAUUGGUCAAGAGUAAUAUACAAAUAAGUACUAUAGAUUAUAACUGAUAUUGAAUUACACGACAUUAUUAAUACAUAUUUCAGUAUUAGUUUUUAUCAUAAAUAUGACUUAAAUAAAAUGUCACUAUGUCAGUAUAUAUAGUUCGAUUUUUUUCCAGUACAUUUUAGAUUCGGUAUGUUCCAAUUUUCAUAGAACCGAUAACUUUUUCCUUUAAACAAUGAUUUUGAAUGAUCUUGAUUUGAAUAAUUCGGUUAUGUCUAAAUAUGCACUCCUAAUCAUAGAUCCCAUGUUUGGGUGUAUAUAUAAUUAAAUCCAAGCACGUGCUUAUACAUUGUUCCGGAAUUAUAUUGCAUGGAAAGUUAACGAGAUAUGGUAUUCUAUACUAUAUACUCGUGUAUAUGUAAGUAUUGUAACAUCAUUAUUUGAAAAGUAACAGUUCUCAUGUUAUACAAUACUAUAAAAAUCAUAAAACCAAAAAAAUAAACAUUAUAAAAUCGAGCAUAUAGUAAAUUGUGUUAAACAUUGAAUUCAAGUUUGACCAAGUCAAAUGAUAAAGCUGCUUGGAUCCACAUCUCCCAAACCAAACACAUGUCUUCACUCUUUUGUCUUUAGAUUUUUGUGGCUUCACUUCUUUUGUUUCUUUCUCGACUUCAGUUGAAACUCCAUAGCACAUAAAGAAAAGGUUCAGUGUUGAACAAGAAAUGUGAUUGCUCUUGGCUUUAUUCGGAAUUGCGGAAUGUGUGCAACAAUCAACGCCCUCAAAAUAUAUAAAUUAUUCAUAAAAAAAUAUUUCGAAAUUUGAAACAAAACCAAAACGAUAUUUAAAUUAUUCAAUAUAUAAAUAGAUAUACAAAAUAACGAUUGGCCGGUGCCAUUUUGAAUGCGUUCAGCGAUAGUUAUAAUUUUAUUACUUUCAAGUUUCGACGUAACACUCCACUCUACUCUAUUAUUGACAUCUUUCUACUUCCGGCUCUGUUUUGUUGACACGCAAGUACACCAACUAUGUGUUUGAUUCAAGUUGACAUCAAUCGAAUCAUUAGUAGAAUAAGACUAACUUCUAGGCCUCUUUUGUGGAUUAUGGGUUGAUUGGUAAUGGAUGUAGGGUCGACAUAUCGGUUUAUAGGGUCUUUCUUCUAAUUUUUUUUGUUUCAAAGGGUGAAUAUAGGUAUAUCCUCGUUACUGGCUUUGAUCUUGGUUUAGUCUUAUAGGAUGUAUCUAUGAUUUGUUGAUAAGUCUCUCAAGUGUUGUCAAAGUGCUCAUCAAAAUAUAGCACAAAAUCAUUCCCAUAUUAAGGUGAGAUGAUAUAGAUGGACUCUUCACAUAAUAUAUAAAUGGACAAAUUACAAAAGCUGUUACAUUUGUUUCUUUUUAUGGUUAGUAUGAUCUAUUGUUAAUUUGAAUCCAAAGUCUGCUGAACGAUCUCAUUCAUAGAUGGCAACAUCAACUUUUUUAAGUAUCUAAACCUGUACUAUAAUAGGUGUAGGCAAGACUGUAAACGUUCAAAGUCUACUAAGUAUCUAACUAGAAAAAGUGCCAAUUUACGUAGAAAUUAGAGGGCAUGUAAUCUAUAUCACACAUAAGUACAGCAGAUAAUAGAUAAGAUUUACAUUUACAGAGAGGAAAAUAAAAAGGUGUGUUCUAUUUUUCAAAGUCUGUGCAUAUGUUCCCACUGCUUCACGCCUACGCAACCCUUCUCUUCUUUUUUCUUUCUUUCAGAUCUUCUUUACCUCUUUCUUUUUGCUUUUUUCCAUGUUACCAUGUUUCCAUGUCAUGCUUCUUUAUUUUAUUUUUUCAAAAAGAAUACGUAUCUACCCAUUAGAUAUGCAAAACUCCCUAUAAUCGAAGUACAUACAGUGAGGGCUUCAUUGAAAAUUGAAACUACGGUUUCUUUCUUUCUUUUGGAAUUUUAAACAACUACAAAAUCCGAAACUCUGGUCUGGAAGUACAAAAAUCUAAGUACUUAUAAAACUGGGAAGUAAAGGUAAGAAAUUAACAAGUUCAAUUCAUAAUUAUAAAAAUAAACAAAAUAAUUCCGAUGUUUUUAUUACAACCCCAUUAGAAAAACUAUGAAAUUAAGACAACAAACAACAAAAAUCCCCCACCCAACACAUUUUGAAACUUAACAUGUCGACUAAAGUGAAAUCUUUCUAACCCUAAACCCUUUCUAGCCCUAAACCCUACUAACCCUAAACUGUAGCUAACCCUAAACCCUACCAACCCUAAACCCUACCUAAACCUAAACCCUACUAACCCUAAACCCUACUUAACCCUAAACCCUACCUACCCUAAACCCUUUUUAACCCUAAACCCUGCUAACCCUAAACCCUUCCUAAACCUAACCCUAAAACCCUACCUAAACCUAACCAUAAAUCCCGCUAAAACU